UUAAGCGACUAAGCGUACACGGUGGAUGCCCUGGCAGUCAGAGGCGAUGAAGGACGUGCUAAUCUGCGAUAAGCGUCGGUAAGGUGAUAUGAACCGUUAUAACCGGCGAUUUCCGAAUGGGGAAACCCAGUGUGUUUCGACACACUAUCAUUAACUGAAUCCAUAGGUUAAUGAGGCGAACCGGGGGAACUGAAACAUCUAAGUACCCCGAGGAAAAGAAAUCAACCGAGAUUCCCCCAGUAGCGGCGAGCGAACGGGGAGGAGCCCAGAGCCUGAAUCAGUGUGUGUGUUAGUGGAAGCGUCUGGAAAGGCGCGCGAUACAGGGUGACAGCCCCGUACACAAAAAUGCACAUGCUGUGAGCUCGAUGAGUAGGGCGGGACACGUGGUAUCCUGUCUGAAUAUGGGGGGACCAUCCUCCAAGGCUAAAUACUCCUGACUGACCGAUAGUGAACCAGUACCGUGAGGGAAAGGCGAAAAGAACCCCGGCGAGGGGAGUGAAAAAGAACCUGAAACCGUGUACGUACAAGCAGUGGGAGCACAGAGCAAUCUGUGUGACUGCGUACCUUUUGUAUAAUGGGUCAGCGACUUAUAUUCUGUAGCAAGGUUAACCGAAUAGGGGAGCCGAAGGGAAACCGAGUCUUAACUGGGCGUUAAGUUGCAGGGUAUAGACCCGAAACCCGGUGAUCUAGCCAUGGGCAGGUUGAAGGUUGGGUAACACUAACUGGAGGACCGAACCGACUAAUGUUGAAAAAUUAGCGGAUGACUUGUGGCUGGGGGUGAAAGGCCAAUCAAACCGGGAGAUAGCUGGUUCUCCCCGAAAGCUAUUUAGGUAGCGCCUCGUGAAUUCAUCUCCGGGGGUAGAGCACUGUUUCGGCAAGGGGGUCAUCCCGACUUACCAACCCGAUGCAAACUGCGAAUACCGGAGAAUGUUAUCACGGGAGACACACGGCGGGUGCUAACGUCCGUCGUGAAGAGGGAAACAACCCAGACCGCCAGCUAAGGUCCCAAAGUCAUGGUUAAGUGGGAAACGAUGUGGGAAGGCCCAGACAGCCAGGAUGUUGGCUUAGAAGCAGCCAUCAUUUAAAGAAAGCGUAAUAGCUCACUGGUCGAGUCGGCCUGCGCGGAAGAUGUAACGGGGCUAAACCAUGCACCGAAGCUGCGGCAGCGACGCUGAUGCGUUGUUGGGUAGGGGAGCGUUCUGUAAGCCUGUGAAGGUGUGCUGUGAGGCAUGCUGGAGGUAUCAGAAGUGCGAAUGCUGACAUAAGUAACGAUAAAGCGGGUGAAAAGCCCGCUCGCCGGAAGACCAAGGGUUCCUGUCCAACGUUAAUCGGGGCAGGGUGAGUCGACCCCUAAGGCGAGGCCGAAAGGCGUAGUCGAUGGGAAACAGGUUAAUAUUCCUGUACUUGGUGUUACUGCGAAGGGGGGACGGAGAAGGCUAUGUUGGCCGGGCGACGGUUGUCCCGGUUUAAGCGUGUAGGCUGGUUUUCCAGGCAAAUCCGGAAAACUAAGGCUGAGGCGUGAUGACGAGGCACUACGGUGCUGAAGCAACAAAUGCCCUGCUUCCAGGAAAAGCCUCUAAGCAUCAGGUAACAUCAAAUCGUACCCCAAACCGACACAGGUGGUCAGGUAGAGAAUACCAAGGCGCUUGAGAGAACUCGGGUGAAGGAACUAGGCAAAAUGGUGCCGUAACUUCGGGAGAAGGCACGCUGAUAUGUAGGUGAAGUCCCUCGCGGAUGGAGCUGAAAUCAGUCGAAGAUACCAGCUGGCUGCAACUGUUUAUUAAAAACACAGCACUGUGCAAACACGAAAGUGGACGUAUACGGUGUGACGCCUGCCCGGUGCCGGAAGGUUAAUUGAUGGGGUCAGCGCAAGCGAAGCUCUUGAUCGAAGCCCCGGUAAACGGCGGCCGUAACUAUAACGGUCCUAAGGUAGCGAAAUUCCUUGUCGGGUAAGUUCCGACCUGCACGAAUGGCGUAAUGAUGGCCAGGCUGUCUCCACCCGAGACUCAGUGAAAUUGAACUCGCUGUGAAGAUGCAGUGUACCCGCGGCAAGACGGAAAGACCCCGUGAACCUUUACUAUAGCUUGACACUGAACAUUGAGCCUUGAUGUGUAGGAUAGGUGGGAGGCUUUGAAGUGUGGACGCCAGUCUGCAUGGAGCCGACCUUGAAAUACCACCCUUUAAUGUUUGAUGUUCUAACGUUGACCCGUAAUCCGGGUUGCGGACAGUGUCUGGUGGGUAGUUUGACUGGGGCGGUCUCCUCCUAAAGAGUAACGGAGGAGCACGAAGGUUGGCUAAUCCUGGUCGGACAUCAGGAGGUUAGUGCAAUGGCAUAAGCCAGCUUGACUGCGAGCGUGACGGCGCGAGCAGGUGCGAAAGCAGGUCAUAGUGAUCCGGUGGUUCUGAAUGGAAGGGCCAUCGCUCAACGGAUAAAAGGUACUCCGGGGAUAACAGGCUGAUACCGCCCAAGAGUUCAUAUCGACGGCGGUGUUUGGCACCUCGAUGUCGGCUCAUCACAUCCUGGGGCUGAAGUAGGUCCCAAGGGUAUGGCUGUUCGCCAUUUAAAGUGGUACGCGAGCUGGGUUUAGAACGUCGUGAGACAGUUCGGUCCCUAUCUGCCGUGGGCGCUGGAGAACUGAGGGGGGCUGCUCCUAGUACGAGAGGACCGGAGUGGACGCAUCACUGGUGUUCGGGUUGUCAUGCCAAUGGCACUGCCCGGUAGCUAAAUGCGGAAGAGAUAAGUGCUGAAAGCAUCUAAGCACGAAACUUGCCCCGAGAUGAGUUCUCCCUGACUCCUUGAGAGUCCUGAAGGAACGUUGAAGACGACGACGUUGAUAGGCCGGAUGUGUAAGCGCAGCGAUGCGUUGAGCUAACCGGUACUAAUGAACCGUGAGGCUUAACCU
RNAcentral lists this ribosomal RNA (2903 nucleotides) under Escherichia coli. Its description in RNAcentral is "bacterial LSU rRNA". It matches the Rfam family "Bacterial large subunit ribosomal RNA". Lineage: Bacteria; Pseudomonadati; Pseudomonadota; Gammaproteobacteria; Enterobacterales; Enterobacteriaceae. RNAcentral also lists the same sequence under 1 other name. The record is from RNAcentral.